AAGUCGUAACAAGGUCUCCGUAGGUGAACCUGCGGAGGGAUCAUUAACAUCCAACUCCCGUGGGGGCUGGAGCUGGAAUCUUCCGCUCCCCUCCACGAGGACUCCCCUAUGAACCUCUCUCCCAUGGGACUCCAAGGAGGGACGAGACCUGUCCGAGUCGACGUGACCUCUCCGGAGGCACACGACGGCAGAGACGAUCCAAGGCUCGCCACUCUUGUCCUCCCCUUUUUCUUUUGUUCCCUCCCCCAAUAUUCUUCUCUCCUCUCUCUGGCAGAUUUGGGCCUCCUCGGAGCCCUUCUCUGUGUCAUUCCAUGAACCACAUAAUCACUCCCUUCCCUGGAUCUCUUGGUUCUCGCACCGAUGAAGAACGCAGCGAACUGCGAGAUGUGAUGCGAAUUGCAGAUGUCCGUGAAUCAUCCAAUCUUUGAACGCAACUGGCACUCGGCUUCUGACGCCGAGUCCGCGCCCCUCAGUCUCGCUCCCCCCCAUCCCCUUGANUGGNCGAACAGUCGAUCAAAGGGGGAAANCAGAGGACCGGAGUGGAGGAACCAACCGCUAACCGCGUGGUUCCCCCUCUCUGCUGCUGAUCGGCAAUGUGUUGUCCCGGGUGGCUUUCGAUCGGAUUGUCUCCAUCGGUCGGUCCCCUGUUCGACCUUGCCUCCCUAUGGACGGAUGGCUCCUCAAACUUUUGGAGCCGGACUUUCGAGCUGAGUUGGCGCGAGGCUACCCCCUGAAUUUAAGCAUAUUAGUACGGGGAGGAGAAGGANCUAACGAGGAUUCCCCUAGUAACGGCGAGUGAAGCGGGAGGAGCGCAUGCUGGGAACCGUCUUCCCUGUCNCCAGGGGGGAUGGGAUGUAGCGUGGGGAGGUUUUCGGGGCUCUCUUCCNCCGGCCGCAGUGCCGUGGAACCGGACAUCAGAGAGGGUGAGAAUCCCGUCCCGGGCCGGCGCCAGAGGAGAGUCCACUCGAGAGCUUCCACGAGUCGAGUUGUUUGGGAUUGCAGCUCUAGCAGGUGGGACCGUCCAUCUUCCGCUCCAUACAGGCGAGAGACCGAUAGCGAACAAGUACCGUGAGGGAAAGAUGAAAAGCACUUUGAAAAGAGAGUGACACAGGACGUGAAGGGGAAGGGAGGGAAGCGGGGGUCAGCUGGACUGCUUAUCGCCUCCUUUCCCUCUCUCGGGCCUCAGAAGCCGGUGGAACGGUAGGCGUGUCCUUGAUGCGCUGGCACAGUCCGCCGAGUGGGAGGCCCGGAGGGGGAGCGGGAGGCCGGCGGCUUCUCCCCGACC
This 1285-nucleotide ribosomal RNA is filed under the name uncultured fungus. RNAcentral's name for it is "eukaryotic LSU rRNA". The stretch from base 704 to 1285 matches the Rfam family "Eukaryotic large subunit ribosomal RNA", at positions 1 to 649 of the family's 3401-position model. Lineage: Eukaryota; Fungi. The record is from RNAcentral.